RNAcentral lists this unclassified non-coding RNA (253 nucleotides) under uncultured Bacillaceae bacterium. RNAcentral describes it as "contains 16S-23S intergenic spacer region". It matches the Rfam family "Bacterial small subunit ribosomal RNA", at positions 524 to 776 of the family's 1533-position model. The record is from RNAcentral. Lineage: Bacteria; Bacillati; Bacillota; Bacilli; Caryophanales; Bacillaceae.
UACGUAGGUGGCAAGCGUUGUCCGGAAUUAUUGGGCGUAAAGCGCGCGCAGGCGGUCUUUUAAGUCUGAUGUGAAAGCCCCCGGCUCAACCGGGGAGGGUCAUUGGAAACUGGGAGACUUGAGUGCAGAAGAGGAGAGUGGAAUUCCACGUGUAGCGGUGAAACGCGCAGAGAUAUGGAGGAACACCAGUGGCGAAGGCGACUCUCUGGUCUGUACCUGACGCUGAGGUGCGAAAGCAUGGGGAGCAAACAGG